GAGAGAGGCUCGCAAGCAGCAGAGACUGCUAAUCUUUGUCACUCAGGUUGAACCCCUGGGCUCACUCG
Molecule: transfer RNA, 68 nt
Filed under: Chaetodon nippon (Japanese butterflyfish)
Lineage: Eukaryota; Metazoa; Chordata; Actinopteri; Chaetodontiformes; Chaetodontidae
Description: tRNA-Ser
Source: RNAcentral